RNAcentral lists this long non-coding RNA (862 nucleotides) under Daucus carota (carrot). RNAcentral describes it as "long non-coding RNA (DCAR_LNC002031)". Lineage: Eukaryota; Viridiplantae; Streptophyta; Magnoliopsida; Apiales; Apiaceae. The record is from RNAcentral.
UUGAUAAAUCCAGAAAGACACCAUUCUUGCCAGUGGCCAAUCAGAAGCAAACACUAACUCUUGGUAUGUGUUUGGAGGAAAAUGCCUCUUUGCAAGUCUUGCAUUUGAAGAUCAAAGAAUAUUUUCCUCGGCUACUCUAUGGAGUCUACAAUCUACAGGGUGAUUGUGAUUGAUCAAUAGAAGGUGAUUGUAAGUCUAGACGGGACAUUGAACGACACUUUGCUCCAAGCUGUUAAAGGUGAUAGUAUUGGUUUAAUAAUGAUUCAGAUCCGAGCAGAAUCUCUUUGCAAGAAUAAGGAUUAUUAAGGAGAUCCCAGCAACAGCUUAGGGGGAGCAUUUGGUGGAUCCACUAGUCAAACUCAACACCACAUUGAAGAUGAACAGGACAUACUAAGAACUCAUCUGCUUAGACAAAGGGUUUGAAGUCAAUAUCAUUCCCGGGUUCUAGUUCUUAAAUGUUUCGAAUGGUGAAGUGAAGACUAGGAGAGAUAUUGUGAAAGGAUGUUAUUUCUUUGGGUUUCAAUCUGAAGUGAAACUUAAGGAAGAUUCAGAAGCUCUUAAAGGGAUCCAGAUUGAGUGAUUGCACAACAAGAUGAUCUCAAUCAGUUUGAAAGCAGAUUGUGCGGAUUCUGAUACCCGGACCUAAUGACAAUUCAUUACAUAGUACUUGUCGGGUAUUUAGAUUCCAAUUGGAUGUUUUUGGCUCUGUUACGAGGGACAAGCCAAUUUGGUUGCUAAGAGUUACUACAAAGGAGAAGGUUAUGAAGAUGAUGGAAAUAAAAUCUUCAAGUUUAGGACUCUACAUCUUAGGGGACUCAACGACCUUCAUGAUUGAACUAAAGCACCAUUGACGAGACUCGGG